CCCGUGUUUUUCUUAAUGCAAUAACUUGAAAUGUAAACAUGAGGUGACAAGUAAAUCCUCAGUCAAAAUAAGUUUGCAACCAAAGAGGAGGAGGAAAGAAAAAGCACGUAGAAAGCUGGCUGUGGAGGCUGUUGAAUGGCGGCCAAAUCCACGGCCAAAGCACUAAUAGAGCACAGCGUUCAUCACGCAAGACCAUUCCUGCUCUUGUUCAUCAGGCUGCAUUCUGGAUCUUUUCCUUUGAGACUCACCAUUUGUUCUGACUUUAUAUCUAAUGCAACAAAUAGGUAAAGAGAGAUCAUGGCAUGCUGUCUGGAUAUAAAUUCUGGCUGCUUUUCUCCAAACCAGAGGAUUAGUGGUGUGAUGGUAGAUGUGAAGUCUGGAGCUGCAACCAUCUUGCAAACAGAAAAGGCCAAAGCUGCCAGGAGCUAUGAGGAAGCCAAGAAUGCAACCAACUAAGAACUAAGAGCGCAGAGAUGGGUCCUGAUGAUACGGUUAAUCCCUGCAUUGAGCUAUGCCUGAAGCUAGUUACCAUGCACUUUUCGAUGGUGUGACCCACUAAACUCUUUCUACCUAAGUCAAUUUGAGUUGGGUUUUCUGUCGCUUGCAACUGAUACCUAAAUUCAGCCUGCUACACC
Non-coding RNA from Kogia breviceps (pygmy sperm whale), 635 nucleotides. Lineage: Eukaryota; Metazoa; Chordata; Mammalia; Artiodactyla; Physeteridae. The record is from RefSeq and is a predicted model, not a curated record.